UGGGGAAUAUUGCACAAUGGAGGGAACUCUGAUGCAGCGACGCCGCGUGAGUGAUGAAGGAAUUCGUUUCGUAAAACUCCGUUCUAUGGGAAGAAAAGGACUGUACCAUAGGAGAAAGCUCCGGCUAAAUACGUGCCAGCAGCCGCGGUAAUACGUAUGGAGCGAGCGUUGUCCGGAAUUAUUGGGCGUAAAGGGUGCGCAGGCGGCGUUACAAGUUGGAUGUGAAAUAUUGUGGCUCAACCACAAACGUGCAUCCAAAACUGCAAAGCUUGAGUUAAGGGGAGGUAAGUGGAAUUCCUGGUGUGGCGGUAGAAGGCGUAAAUAGCAGGAGGAAUACCGGUGGCGAAGGCGACUUACGGGACUUAAACUGCCGCUCAGGGACGAAAGGGUGGGGGGCAAACAGG
This 404-nucleotide ribosomal RNA is filed under the name Fusobacteriota bacterium. RNAcentral describes it as "Fusobacteria bacterium partial 16S ribosomal RNA". It matches the Rfam family "Bacterial small subunit ribosomal RNA", at positions 355 to 776 of the family's 1533-position model. Lineage: Bacteria; Fusobacteriati; Fusobacteriota. The record is from RNAcentral.